This 111-nucleotide non-coding RNA is filed under the name uncultured Ochromonas. Lineage: Eukaryota; Chrysophyceae; Chromulinales; Chromulinaceae. The record is from RNAcentral.
CAUCAAAACAACAGAAAACAAACAAAAAACACGAGCUAAUCUCUUAUUAGACUAUUUCUUCUUCUUUCCCUUGUCAUCUUUCUUUUCUCCUCCUUUAUGUUUCUCUUGAUA